CGCGAAUAGCUCAUUACAACAGCCGUCGUUUCUUGGAUCUCUAAUUUUACUUGGAUAACUGUGGUAAUUCUAGAGCUAAUACACGCACUAAAGCUCUGACCUUACGGGACGAGCGCAUUUAUUAGAACAAAACCAAUCGGGUUCUGUCCGUUCGUUGGUGACUCUGAAUAGCUCUGCCGAUCGCACAGUCUCGCACCGGCGACGUAUCUUUCAAGUGUCUGCCUUAUCAACUUUCGAUGGUAGUUUAUGUGCCUACCAUGGUUGUAACGGGUAACGGAGAAUAAGGGUUCGACUCCGGAGAGGGAGCCUGAGAAACGGCUACCACAUCCAAGGAAGGCAGCAGGC
RNAcentral lists this ribosomal RNA (345 nucleotides) under Nematoda environmental sample. Its description in RNAcentral is "SSU rRNA". It matches the Rfam family "Eukaryotic small subunit ribosomal RNA", at positions 88 to 433 of the family's 1831-position model. The record is from RNAcentral. Lineage: Eukaryota; Metazoa; Nematoda.